Cinara cedri is the source of this 285-nucleotide non-coding RNA. The record is from the annotation of a GenBank genome assembly. NCBI's taxonomy places the organism in Eukaryota, Metazoa, Arthropoda, Insecta, Hemiptera, Aphididae.
AAUUUUUAUUUUAGUUUAGAGUUGAUUCGCUCGGUCUCUUUUAACAAUUUUUUCCAUGGUUACAUCAUGAAUAUAAAUGGUUGCAUGAAGUUCUUUUUCCUAUGAAGCUGUUUCAGUUAAAUUGCAAUAUACCUCAUACAACCCAAGCUGAGGAUAUAGAUACAUAUUAUAAUUGAUUAUUAUAUACAAAUAAAAAUAAAAAGUUACUGAACAAUUUUUCUUAAUAAAUAAAUAAAUAAUUUCAGAUUCACGUUACUAGUGUUAUUUAGUAUGGUAUAUAAUUUA